UACUUUGUAUAUACGAAAAACUUUUCAUCUAAGUGAAAAGACUUAGAUAACUAAGGAAGACGAAAAGACCCCGCGGAACUUUACCUUUUCUUACACUUCUGUCUACACACUUAAAGGUCUAUAAGGUUUGAUUGGGGCAAUCUUGGAAUCACUAAAGCUUCCAAUAGCUAUACAACAAUAUAUAAAAUUUGCUAAGGACCAAAAAGUAGUUACCCCAGGGAUAACAGCGUAAUCCAACUUAAGAGUACACAUCGAAAGUUGGGUUUGCGACCUCGAUGUUG
RNAcentral lists this ribosomal RNA (281 nucleotides) under Aculamprotula fibrosa. RNAcentral describes it as "partial 16S ribosomal RNA". It matches the Rfam family "Bacterial large subunit ribosomal RNA", at positions 2048 to 2534 of the family's 2925-position model. Lineage: Eukaryota; Metazoa; Mollusca; Bivalvia; Unionida; Unionidae. The record is from RNAcentral.